CCUAGAGGUGGAGUUAACCCUGGAUAGUAAUUAUUGCAGUUACUAAAUAACUGCAAUAAUUGCAAGGUUAUGGUACAUGGGACUUUGCACCCAGACCACUUUAAUGACAUGAAGUGGUCUGGUGCCUACAGUGUCACUUUAAUGUAGUGUUAUUUAACUCAUGAGUCGGAUUUCCAUGCACUUUCAUUCGGUGCCCACCGAUUGGAGUACAUUUUAGGCCGUAGGCUAGGGUAGGUGGCCUUUAGCACUCCAGAUAUUGUAAACUACAUCUCUCAUAGUGCUGUUACAGUUAUAA
This is a non-coding RNA of Pelobates cultripes (western spadefoot toad), 295 nucleotides long. The record is from the annotation of a GenBank genome assembly. Lineage: Eukaryota; Metazoa; Chordata; Amphibia; Anura; Pelobatidae.